This 511-nucleotide long non-coding RNA is filed under the name Rattus norvegicus (Norway rat). Its description in RNAcentral is "long non-coding RNA NONRATT007630". Lineage: Eukaryota; Metazoa; Chordata; Mammalia; Rodentia; Muridae. The record is from RNAcentral.
CGGACAGAGCGGGGCUCUUAGGAUGUUGCUGGAGGUUGUGCUCCGCGGGGCUCAGACGAAAUCUGUGAAUGGAAGAAAUGCUUUCAAGCAAACAGCCGCUACCAGAACAACUCUGUGACUAGGAGAAAGAGGCCAAGGCGCGAGUUCCCAAACCCUGAAGCCACAGGAGCCCAAGGGGGAGACUGGAGAGAAGGUAUUUCUAGCCGUGCACAGUGACUGAUCAGCCGAGGACCUACCCUCGAGUUCUAUUCUGCAACAGUGAACAGUGAAGGUCUCCAAAGGGUGUUCCACAGAGCUACUUCUGCUCUCUGCACCUCUGUUUCCACAAGUUUAUAAUGGAGACACGAGGAAGCCGUUUCCAGCAAGGCCUCUGCUGAAUCUAGAAGUUGCUUCUGGCUGAGUGAUGCUCUCUUGUUCCCCUCAACCCUCCUGAGAAGAGGAUUCCACUUGAGUGUCCCCUUUCCUUGGCUCUCCUCCAAGAUUGAAUCAACCCAGCUGGCAUCCGACCGUU